Molecule: RNA transcript, 636 nt
Organism: Hibiscus syriacus
Lineage: Eukaryota; Viridiplantae; Streptophyta; Magnoliopsida; Malvales; Malvaceae
Exons: 3
Source: RefSeq, a predicted model, not a curated record
UGUUACAUUGGCGGGAAAAAUAAACCUACAUUGAAACUUCAUUGAACGAAUUAGUCUUUGAAGAAAAAUGAAAAUGCAGAGGACAGUUUUAACCAGGAGAAGCUUCAAGGUAGCAGCUGCUGCUAGGAAGAAAUGCAGAGCAUCGAGUAGAGGCAAUCCGGAUAAGAAAAAAAGAUCGAGAAGUAUAAGAUCUCGGAUCAGAAGGUUGAGAGCUGAGAUGAAUGAAAUAGAUGAAGAGCAAAGAAAGAUAAAAGAAGGGCAAAGGCAAGUAAAAGAGAAAUCGGUAGCCAUUGAAAUAGAAUGUGAGGAACUUCGGAAAGAGGCUCUCUCAUAUCGCAACAAAGUGCAAGCACCCAAAUGCGCCUUGCCUUGAUGUUUCAAAUAUUGAAAGCAAGGGAAAACCAAGAGCUCGACAAGGCAGCCUUAUUCACUCGUGCUCUUCGUGGGUUGAUUGAGAGAGAAAAUCAACUAAGGAAGCUUUAAGGAUGUUUCUUCAUAUUUGAUGUGAAUGACUUUCAUGAAGAAAAUAAAUAAAUCUUAAACAUUUGAAUGGUGAUUAUUAAUCCAUAAUGAAUGACAAAGUAAUGGAUUGGAUCAUAAUUUAUUGUGUGUGGCUUAAUAUUGAAAAUUAAUAAA